RNAcentral lists this ribosomal RNA (492 nucleotides) under uncultured bacterium. RNAcentral's name for it is "partial 16S ribosomal RNA". It matches the Rfam family "Bacterial small subunit ribosomal RNA", at positions 30 to 507 of the family's 1533-position model. The record is from RNAcentral.
AUUGAACGCUGGCGGCAUGCUUUACACAUGCAAGUCGAACGGUAACAGGCCUUCGGGUGCUGACGAGUGGCGAACGGGUGAGUAAUGCAUCGGAACGUGCCCAGAGGUGGGGGAUAACGCAGCGAAAGCUGUGCUAAUACCGCAUGUGAUCUGAGGAUGAAAGCGGGGGACCAGGCAGCAAUGUUUGGCCUCGCGCCUUUGGAGCGGCCGAUGCCAGAUUAGGUAGUUGGUGGGGUAAAGGCCUACCAAGCCGACGAUCUGUAGCUGGUCUGAGAGGACGACCAGCCACACUGGGACUGAGACACGGCCCAGACUCCUACGGGAGGCAGCAGUGGGGAAUUUUGGACAAUGGGCGCAAGCCUGAUCCAGCAAUGCCGCGUGCGGGAAGAAGGCCUUCGGGUUGUAAACCGCUUUUGUACGGAACGAAAAGGCUCUGGCUAAUACCUGGGGCUGAUGACGGUACCGUAAGAAUAAGCACCGGCUAACUACGUG